Molecule: long non-coding RNA, 580 nt
Filed under: Actinidia chinensis (golden kiwifruit)
Lineage: Eukaryota; Viridiplantae; Streptophyta; Magnoliopsida; Ericales; Actinidiaceae
Description: long non-coding RNA (ACHI_LNC003668)
Source: RNAcentral
AUUUAUCCUAAACUACAUUCCUUUUUAGUUCUGAUUUUUCAAUGAUGUUUCACCAAUUUUCUUUCUUGCAAAAAACUGAAAUACAGAAAAGUUGCCUGCAUCUAUCUUCAUUUCGAUGCUGCUCCCUACGUUGUCACUUCAUCAGAAAGAUAAUAAAUAACAAGUUUUACAAUAAUAAAUAAAAAAAAGCAUAUUCGAUAGACGUGGUGAAUCAGAUCUCCAUUAAAUAAUUAAAACCAGAAUCAGGGAAAAACCAUGCCACUCACUGUGGCUUGUCCAUCUACCUUUAACCAAACAAUGUACUUCAAUGGAUUGCAUAAGUAGUCUUCGGCAAAAUGAUCUUAUAAAGUGGCUGACCCGGAGGACUUACUAAUGUGAAGGUAAAUGAGCAGUUGCAGCAUGCUUGCUGAGACAUGACUGUUACUCUUCAAGCCAUGCCCCCCUUCUUAUUUGCAUCUUAGUUUAGAUCAGGCAAAUAGCUAAAAUGGCAUUUAAGGAGAGUGAGCAAAAACCGGCAUAUAAUGCCAUUUCACACUGUGAACACUUCAGCAAUGCUUAAGGAAUCAGCAUUAGUAAAAUG